AACGCGAAGAACCUUACCUACCCUUGACAUGGCUGGAAUCCUUCAGAGAUGAGGGAGUGCUCGAAAGAGAACCAGUACACAGGUGCUGCAUGGCUGUCGUCAGCUCGUGUCGUGAGAUGUUGGGUUAAGUCCCGCAACGAGCGCAACCCUUGUCAUUAGUUGCUACGAAAGGGCACUCUAAUGAGACUGCCGGUGACAAACCGGAGGAAGGUGGGGAUGACGUCAAGUCCUCAUGGCCCUUAUGGGUAGGGCUUCACACGUCAUACAAUGGUACAUACAGAGGGCCGCCAACCCGCGAGGGGGAGCUAAUCCCAGAAAGUGUAUCGUAGUCCGGAUUGUAGUCUGCAACUCGACUACAUGAAGUUGGAAUCGCUAGUAAUCGCGGAUCAGCAUGUCGCGGUGAAUACGUUCCCGGGCCUUGUACACACCGCACGA
RNAcentral lists this ribosomal RNA (435 nucleotides) under uncultured bacterium. Its description in RNAcentral is "bacterial SSU rRNA". It matches the Rfam family "Bacterial small subunit ribosomal RNA", at positions 958 to 1397 of the family's 1533-position model. The record is from RNAcentral.